RNAcentral lists this ribosomal RNA (1101 nucleotides) under Triticum aestivum (bread wheat). RNAcentral's name for it is "partial small subunit ribosomal RNA". Lineage: Eukaryota; Viridiplantae; Streptophyta; Magnoliopsida; Poales; Poaceae. The record is from RNAcentral.
AUGGAAUACUACUUUGCAGGUACAAGCCAGCCAGCAUGGGUUGGUCUGAAGAGAGACCGGUCGGACGGCAAGCUCGACGCCACGGUGACGGACAAGCGGCACAAGUGCGAUGACAACAGUUGGAAGGCGGUCGCUGCGUAUGCACCGACGGCGGGUUCGAAGCGAGCCUACCAGCGAUCCGAGGACGAGAUUGACCCAGUGUUCAUCGACAAGCGGUACAAGGGCAACUACUGGGAGGACCCUGCUUACGCGGCGGUGGUACGGUUCGGCGGGAGAAUGAGAGCCAUGGACGAUGCUUUCGACAACGAGAGCGAGCGGAUGCGGAAGGAUUACGCCGAGCAGCGCGCCGCCAGGCUGCGUGAGCUAGUGCGUAAGAACUUGAUAAGUGCAGAUGCAUGCGAGCCAGUAUGGGUUGGGCUGAAGAGAGGCCACGAGCGGUCGGACGGCAAGCUCGACGCGGCGGUGAUGGAGAAACGGCACAAGUGCGAUGACAGCAGCUGGAAGGCCGUCGCUGCAUAUGCACCGGCGGUGGGGGCGAAGCGAUCCUACCAGCGAUCCGAGGAUGAGCUUGACCCAGUGCUCAUCGACAAGCGGUACAAGGGCAACUACUGGGAGGACCCUGCUUACGCGGUGAUCCUACGGCUUCGUGGGGGACGUAAAGCCAUGGACGACGCUCUCGACAACCGCGUCGAGCGUCUUAUCAAGGAGUUGGAAGACGAGCGCGCCGCCACACUGCGUGAGCUACGACGCCAACACAGCAGCUGCUGCAAGAAGAAGCGCAGGUCGACCAAGUGGAGGCAGAGCGCGCCGAUCCUGGGCGACGACGACCAGUGCGCGCCGGGCGGCGAGGGCUUCGCCAAGCGGUAUCGGCUGGGCGCGGAGCUGGGGCGCAGGGCGUUCGGGAUGACACGCCAUUGCGAGCACGCGGCCACGGGCGAGGCACUGACCUGCAAGACCACCCGCCGCAAGCGGCUGCGUCGCGCCGCCAACGCCGAGGACGUGCAGCGGGAGGUGGAGAUCCUGCGGCGCAUGUCGGCGCGGGCGGCGCCGUGGUGCGGCUCCGCGAGGCCUGCAAGGACGCCGAGGGCGUGCACCUGGUGA